AUCCAGCUAACGAGUCCUAAAUGGGACGAAACGAACGUCCUGGAU
Schistosoma margrebowiei is the source of this 45-nucleotide non-coding RNA. NCBI's taxonomy places the organism in Eukaryota, Metazoa, Platyhelminthes, Trematoda, Strigeidida, Schistosomatidae. The record is from Rfam.